UACGGAGGGGGCGAGCGUUAUUCGGAAUUAUUGGGCGUAAAGGGCGCGUAGGCGGCUGAACAAGUCAAAGGUGAAAUCCCUCGGCUCAACUGAGGAACUGCCUUUGAAACUGUUCGGCUUGAGGCCGGGAGGGGGUAGCGGAAUUCCCAGUGUAGCGGUGAAAUGCGUAGAUAUUGGGAGGAACACCAGCGGCGAAGGCGGCUACCUGGACCGGUUCUGACGCUGAGGCGCGAAAGCGUGGGUAGCAAACAGG
RNAcentral lists this ribosomal RNA (253 nucleotides) under uncultured bacterium. Its description in RNAcentral is "partial 16S ribosomal RNA". It matches the Rfam family "Bacterial small subunit ribosomal RNA", at positions 524 to 776 of the family's 1533-position model. The record is from RNAcentral.